UACGGGGGGGGCAAGCGUUGUUCGGAAUUACUGGGCGUAAAGGGCUCGUAGGCGGCCAACUAAGUCAGACGUGAAAUCCCAGGCUCAACCUGGGAACUGCGUCUGAUACUGGAUGGCUUGAAUUCGGGAGAGGGAUGCAGAAUUCCAGGUGUAGCGGUGAAAUGCGUAGAUAUCUGGAGGAAUACCGGUGGCGAAGGCGGCAUCCUGGACCGACAUUGACGCUGAUGAGCGAAAGCUAGGGGAGCAAACGGG
This 252-nucleotide ribosomal RNA is filed under the name uncultured bacterium. RNAcentral describes it as "partial 16S ribosomal RNA". It matches the Rfam family "Bacterial small subunit ribosomal RNA", at positions 524 to 776 of the family's 1533-position model. The record is from RNAcentral.